Molecule: ribosomal RNA, 763 nt
Filed under: uncultured candidate division MSBL1 archaeon
Lineage: Archaea; Methanobacteriati; Methanobacteriota
Description: bacterial SSU rRNA
Rfam family: Archaeal small subunit ribosomal RNA
Source: RNAcentral
GUCAAUCUGCCCUUGGGACGGGGAUAACCCCGGGAAACUGGGGAUAAUACCCGACAGACGGGGAUUCUGGAAAGUUCCUCGUCUAAAUGCUUCGGCGCCCAAGGAUGAGACUGCGGCCUAUUAGGUAGUUGGUGAGGUAAAGGCUCACCAAGCCACAGAUGGGUACGGGCCCUGAGAGGGGGAGCCCGGAGAUGGGGACUGAGACAAGGCCCCAGGCCCUACGGGGCGCAGCAGGUGCGAAAAUUCUGCAAUGCGUGCAAGCGCGACAGAGUGACUCCCAGUGCCGAUGGUCUAGCGACCGUCGGCUUUUCUGGAAUGUAAAAAGUUUCAGGUAAUAAGGGCCGGGUAAGACUGGUGCCAGCCGCCGCGGUAACACCAGCGGCCCGAGUGGUAACCGAUUUUAUUGGGCCUAAAGCGCCCGUAGCCGGGCUGGCAAGUCCUUUGUGAAAUCGGACGGCUUAACCGUUCGGCUUGCAGGGAAACUGUCGGUCUUGGGGCUGGUAGGCGUCGAGGGUACUCCGGGGGUAGCAGUGAAAUGCUAUAAUCCUUGGGGGACCGCCAGUGGCGAAAGCGCUCGCUGAGCCAGACCUGACGUGAGGACGAAGGCCAGGUACGAACCGGAUAAAUACCCGGGUAUCCUGCCUGCAAAGGAUGUGAGUAAGUGCUAGGCGCUCCUCGAGAUGCGUCCGGUGCCCGAUGGAAUUCAUUAAUCUUACCGCCUGGAAGUACGUUCGCAGAACUGAAACUUAAGAAUUGGGGGGGA